AUGGGGAAGCUCUCCUCCGUGGGCAGCAACUUCAUGGCGUCCGCUGGCAGCCGCAGCACCAGCGGCGGGUUUGACGAGGGGGCCAAGUACUUCGACGGCCAGAUCCUCAAGGCGCCCAACCUCCACACCUUCACAUUCAUAGAGCUCAAGACGGCCACCAAGAACUUCCGUCCGGACAGCGUCCUCGGCGAAGGAGGGUUCGGGAGAGUCUACAAAGGGUGGGUGGAUGAGAAGACCAUGGCGCCGACCAGGAACGGCACCGACAUGGUUGUUGCGGUCAAGAAGCUCAACUCAGAGAGCAUGCAGGGGUUUGAGGAAUGGCAGAUGCAGUAUAUGAUCGUCGACGGCGUUUCUAGCUCCUGGUACAUCAAGUUUGAUACAUUUACUCCUGCAGCUGAGCGGGGGCUCCCGGUCACAAGGGUCAUUAGUCGCAUGACGCUGCAACAGAUCCUUGCUCGAGCAGUUGGGUAUGACGCUAUAUUGAAUGGAAGCCAUGUAGUCAAUUUUACAGAUGAUGGCAGUAAGUGCUUCUUCGGCUGA
RNA transcript from Zea mays, 540 nucleotides. It is a transcript of the gene named serine/threonine-protein kinase pseudogene, with no coding region annotated. The record is from RefSeq and is marked validated. The transcript has 4 exons. NCBI's taxonomy places the organism in Eukaryota, Viridiplantae, Streptophyta, Magnoliopsida, Poales, Poaceae.